RNAcentral lists this long non-coding RNA (663 nucleotides) under Cicer arietinum (chickpea). Its description in RNAcentral is "long non-coding RNA (CARI_LNC000351)". Lineage: Eukaryota; Viridiplantae; Streptophyta; Magnoliopsida; Fabales; Fabaceae. The record is from RNAcentral.
AUUUCUUAUAACAUCAACCGAAGAAAAUGAAAGACGAGAAAGAAGUGAGGACUAAGGAAGAUUACAAAUAUUGUUUGUUAAUAUAAGAGAGAGAAAAAAAAUACAAAAAUGUUAAUAUUUCUCUUAUAUUUUUGAGAGACCACAAUCUGAUCAUCUCUUAUACAUAUAUUACUCUUCCACCAAUAUCAAAGUGAAAGGACUAUACUCCCUUUUUUUAUCAAGCCAAAAAAUAUAUAUAUUAAGAAGGUUACAAUCCAAGCACAAGGAGCACCAAAUAAAAGUUUUACAUAAUAAAUAAGUGCAGACACACACCUCCACAACAAAAACCCCAAUUCAACUGUAUUUCUCCACCAUUGAUUUAAGUAAUAAGCAAACCUUUUCACCCUUGUAUUUUUUGCCACCACCAUAACACAAUUGAGAUGCUAGGAUACAUAAUUGGUUAAACACUCAAAUUGUCUUAGUUUAAAAUUAGAAAAGAACACACCUUCAAAUUGAUGGGCAUUGCUAUGCUAAAAAUGCACUUAAUUAUAUCUAUUGCAUAAAUAGUAUAAACAAUUAUAUCGCAUACACAUAUAUUAAUUAGCAAGUACCAAAGUAAUUAAAAUUGUUUAUUAUUCAAAUUUAUACUAAUGGUUGAGUUAGCACAUUAACGAAAUAAACAAA